UACGUAGGGUGCGAGCGUUAAUCGGAAUUACUGGGCGUAAAGCGUGCGCAGGCGGUUCGUCGUGUCUGAUGUGAAAGCCCCGGGCUCAACCUGGGAAUAGCAUUGGAAACUGGCGGACUAGAGUGUGGCAGAGGGGGGUGGAAUUCCGCGUGUAGCAGUGAAAUGCGUAGAGAUGCGGAGGAACACCGAUGGCGAAGGCAGCCCCCUGGGCUAACACUGACGCUCAGGCACGAAAGCGUGGGGAGCAAACAGG
RNAcentral lists this ribosomal RNA (253 nucleotides) under uncultured bacterium. RNAcentral's name for it is "partial 16S ribosomal RNA". It matches the Rfam family "Bacterial small subunit ribosomal RNA", at positions 524 to 776 of the family's 1533-position model. The record is from RNAcentral.